Molecule: non-coding RNA, 30 nt
Filed under: Mus musculus (house mouse)
Lineage: Eukaryota; Metazoa; Chordata; Mammalia; Rodentia; Muridae
Source: RNAcentral
UAGGAACUGGAUAAAGACUUUAAACAAGUU